This 314-nucleotide long non-coding RNA is filed under the name Elaeis guineensis (African oil palm). RNAcentral's name for it is "long non-coding RNA (EGUI_LNC016304)". The record is from RNAcentral. Lineage: Eukaryota; Viridiplantae; Streptophyta; Magnoliopsida; Arecales; Arecaceae.
AUAUCAUAAUUUUUUUAAAAAUAUAAAUAUUUUUGUCAUACAAAAUUUUUAAAUGAAAAAGUUGAUCUGCAUACAUUAAAUGUAUGUUGGAACUAUGCAAAUCAAUCGGAUGAGACGGUGCACUCCACGUUGGAUUUUCUAUACCACUCACGAUAUACAAAAAAUUUUAUUUUAUUAUUAUUAUUUAUUAUUAUUAUUAUUAACUCUCUUAUUUCACCACAAUAGAGCAGUGUGUCACAGUCGUAGAUUCGCAGUCCAGAAAAUAAAUUAGGAGCGAUAGAAAUGACUUGAGAACUGGUGAUCCAUGCAACUGA